AAAAAAAUAGCAAAUAAACAAUAAAAUAAACGAAGUGGAAAUAAAGUGGUCCGUUGGCUUUGUUAGGACCUUCAUACUCCCCAGAUUGCAACCCAGUUGAUCAGAGGGGAGCCUCUUCUCACUCUUCCAAAAUUUCACCCUUCUGUUUCCUUUUUCCUCUCAAAAGAUCUAUUGCCAUUCCUCGGAGUGGACCCUUUUGGCCAUUUCUUGAGUCAGUUAGCCUCGUUGGCUGUCCGAUCUUCUCUCCUCCUCCAUUUUUCCCACGGCGAACUCCGGCACUUCCCCUACCAGGUAAGCUUGCUCCCUUAAUUUUAAUCCUCCCAUCGCUAAAACAUGCGCUUGGUCGUUCCUCUCCCUUGUGUGGGAGAACAAACGGGUUGGAAAUCAUCUUUUAACGAUUUUACAUUUUCAAUGAAAGCACUUAUAUAUAAUAGGCUAUAUUUUGUUUUCUUUAAUUUUUGCAGUUAUAUUUUGAAAUUGUAUAAUUUGCCAUUCAAUUAUUAGUGUGAUUGAAUUUUACCACUAAACUUUAAUUUUUUUUAAAAGAAUUUCCAUAAACUUUGAUUUUUAGUUAAAAAUUUAGCACUUAAUAUUAAUUUUGAUGAAAAAAAAUUGAACUUUAACUACUAAUCAAAAGUUACUUAAAGUUCAUACUUUUAUGUAUUAUAGAUAGAUAAGUCAUAAAUAUUUAAUUUAAUCAAGUUACAUAUUCAACUUUAACUACUAAUAAAUUAAGCCAUUUAUACUAACAUUGUAACACUCUCGACUCGAUUUGAUUGGUUGGAUCCAGAUCUUAGGUAUUAUCAAGUUAAUACAAAUAAAAACUCAAUCUACUUUUACAAAUUACGAUCACUUACGUCUUACUUAAUCACAAAAUUUCUAAUUUGAAUAGAUAAACAUGUACAAGUAAAUAUAAUUACAUCACGUGGUAAUUAAAAUACAACAAUAUUUAAUUUGAAACUCUAAUACAAUACAGAUGCCCCAAAUAGGGACUUCUAAGUAAUAAUUCAGUCUUGGAAUACAUCGCCAAUCUUGCUCUGUAUACACAAUAACCUGAUAUUUCACUUUUAGGGAUAGUCCUAACAUCGUCCCUCUUGACGUAGACUUACGUCAUCUCACUUAUAACAUAAUACAUACAGAUAAGUUUAUAAGAAUUUAGUAAGGAAAAUAUAAUUUACAUGAGUCAUAUUUGCACAUUGCAAUUGAUAGUUUAGAUAGAUGAUACCAUCGUCCUUAAACAUUCAACUUUGUCUCUGAUGAAUACUUCCUCAAGUUUUGUUUCCAUAUUCACAUCAGAUAUCAUACCUUACUUUGAAAUCACUUCUUCUUAUCGAAGUAUUCAAUACAUCAUUUACUUCUUUCAAUCAAAACAAUCAUAAAUCUUUAUCCAUUUUCUUUUCAGAGAUCAAUACAAUCAGUAACAACAUUACGCUUGCAAACUUACUUCUGAGCCAUCAAAUCAUCACAAUUCAAAAGAAUGUGUGCACAGACGAUAGAUACCUCCUUCAAACAUACAAAUUUUACAGUCUUAUUUUUAGACGAGUCAUAGCCUUAUAUAACUCGUUUUUACUGUACUAACCAUAUAGACAUAAAACCUUUCUAAUCUUACUGAUUUCACUUAAGAGUCAUGUUGAAUGCGCCUAAUCGAUUUAUUAUAGAACCUGCCACAAGAACAUUCUUUCCGAUAUGUCACCAAGGACUUUAUUUUGACGUAUCAUAUGGACAUUUCUUUCAGAGUUCGUCAUGAAUGAUACUUUUUCAUAUUGCGCUACGAAGGCGCUCCUUUAGGGUUUGCCAUAAGGGUAUUUUCUUCCUAAUGUGUUUGUGAUAUGAAUUUGCCUAGACUCACAUUUCGUGAGAUUUGCUUGUCAUUAUCCUAAGACAUGCAGAAAAAAUCCAUUAGGCUAUAGCCAUGACCAUGGACUUUCCAUUCAGGGUUCUUAUUUAAAGUCCCGGCGAACCCUUUUGAACAUCACCGCGAUGAACAGACAUAAACUCUUCAUGCCCUUAUACAAUUUAAACCUAACCUUUUAUUCCACCAACAUAUAACCACAUACAUUCCCGACUCAUAAUACAAAUUCUAGGCAUACAUAUAACCAUACCUCAGCAUUACAUUAUUUAAUCACCAUUCAUCAUAUGCUUGAACUUAUCAUAUUCCAUACCAAUUAUACAUGCCAUCCUCAAUGAACAAUCAUACAUUCAUAGAUCUCAUUUAGUAAUUACUCAUAUAGUUACAUACAUAUCAUAUCGUACCUUUCGUGAUCUCGGCUUCAUAUUUCAUUUAGUAUGCCACAGAUCUAUUUGCAUGAAUAGUACAUAUGCAAAAGUCAGCAAAGAGGCUCACCUGACAAUCUCACAUAGCAGCUUAAAUUCUAGAUCCAACAAGAGAUUACAAUAACCACUACUUAUAAAACAAAAGAACACCAUUAAAACUCGUUUUAACCUCUACCGUCAUCUUAAACCUAGAUAACCCACAUAUAAAGCCUUACUUCUUUAUUUAACUAUUCAUGCACUUAUUCAAACUUAAUCUUUCAUAACUUUAACAUGUAGAGUUACAAUAUUUACCUUGACAUGUAGUAGUCACUAACAAAAAUCUAGAUUUACAACUCCAAUUUAUAGGAGAAAAAAAUACUUUCUGGUUUCUCCAGUAUCAGAUAACAAUACUUUAGAAGAAAGAAGGAAAAUUUUUUCUUUCUCUACCCUUAAUAUCGACAUAUUUAACCUAAGUCCUUAUUGGAACUUGACAUGUGUCACAACUCGUAAGAUUGUUUUUAUAAAUGGCUUACAGUUGUAGAGAGAACCUAAAUAAAAAUCCAAUAAAUUAUAUAUUUGGUUCUUCGGUUCUAUCCAUUUCUAUCCAAAUGGUUUUUAACGUAACUGGCACAGUAACUCAAUGAACUUGGCAUAUAAUACCUUCGACAAUAACUCCAACUUACAAAAUUCUCAAUACUCUUACCAAACUCCCUUUCCUUACAGCACAACACAUUCUAAGUUCGAUCCGUAUAUAAUAUUCCAAUAUCUGCUAUGCACUCAAAUUGUACACCAAAACAAUAAUUGGGCAGAUAGGCUACGCCUCACAAAUUACUCUCAGUCUACUCGCCAGAACUUAAAACCCAUCAAAACUAGGUGUUACAAACGCCGUCGAGUUAUUUUAAUGGAAAAAUUGAGUUAUCACUUCUAUUUAGCAAUUUUUUUCAAAUAAGCAAAUAAUAUAUAUUGUUAUUUUAAAUAAAUUUGUCUAAGCUUUUUUCCAAACAUAAAUUACUAGAGAAAUAAAAUUUAGUUUUGCAAUUCUGUAAGAAUGAAACCUUAAUCAAUUGAAUCAAUUUUUUUGAAUUUUUUUCUCAUUCUUCAUCAUUCAUUUUCAACCAUUAAAGAUUUGCAAUUGUUCCUUUAAACUUUCAUAAUCGAUCAUGGAGGUUUUUAUUCCUUGAUAUAGAGGUAGGGAUCAACAUUGAAAAGUCCUCGAGUUGCAGAUUUGACGUAGGGCUUUAGACUAAAUUGAAGGGAAUUGGCAUGUAAGCAACCUAAAACACAUAAGAAAUGUAACAACUCGAUAGGCAGGGGUGUUGAAAAGUGUAUAUCCGGGACUCUGUUCAUGUAAACCAGACUCGAAGUUAAUUAUUUAGUUAAUUAAAUUUUGGAUAGAUAAUUUACAUGAAUUAGGAGCUAUUAUGGUUUAAGGACUAAAUUGCGUAAAAGUAAAAAAUUCAAUUAUAAAUUGAAAUAAACUAAAGGGGCUAAAGUAAUAAUUAUGUAAUUUAAUAAAUGGUUGUGUAUAGGUGCCCGGUCAAGGGUUAAGUGUAAUGUGCUUUUAUAUAUUAUAUAUAUGUUAUAUAUUAAGUUAGAAUAAUAAUAGUAAUAAAUAAAAUGAAAACAAAAUUAAAAGAAAAAAGUGAAGUAGAAUGAGAGAGCACAUGCAAAUUAAAAGAAAAGAAAAGAAAGAACCAAAAGAGGCCGACGAUACUAAGGGCUUCAAACUUUCAAAUUUUAAUUGGUUAGUCAAUUUAGCCCCAUUUUCUUAUAAUUUUCAUAUUUUUGGAAUCACAGUACCUAGGUUCUAAUUUUUAGUAUUGUUUAAGAUUUUAGAUGUUGCUAUUGUUGAAUAGUUUAAGUAUUAGGAAUUAAAUAGAUAGAUUUUUAAGCUAGAAGUGGAAAAUGACUAAAUUGUGAAAUUAAUAGUUGAUUUUGAGUAAUAGGGACUAAAUUGAGAAAAUUUUGAAAUUGAAGGGUUGAAUUAGAAAAUGAGCUAAAUUUAGUUUAAAGUGAAAUUAGUAUAAAAAUAUAAAGUUAAAUGUGAAGGUUAAAAAUUAGUCUCGAUUUAGGGACUAAAUUGAAGUUUAAGCAAAUAAAGUGUAAAAUUUUAAUUUUAAUGUAAAAUUAAAUUAUGUAAUAUUAAUAUAUUUUAAUUGUUUUAUUCCGUAGCUAACGUCGUACCGGAAUCCUUGAGUAAAAAGGAGAAGGAUAAAAUUGACGUCGAAUAGCUCAGAAUUUACGGUUUGUGUGUUCUAUAAUCCUAAUUAAAUAACAGAUUGUUGUAUAAUUAAUUGUUUGCAUAUGGUAAGCAUUUGUGGUGGGUACUUUGGUACUUUUGGAUUAAAUUGAAUUCAUAGUAAAUUUGAAAGGGAUUCAUUUUGUGUAUUAUGAAAUAUGUUGAUUAUAUGAAUAUUGAAUUGACUAUAUGUGAUAGUGUAUAUAUGUGAAACUGAGACAUUAGUUGUAUUGAAAAGUGAAAUAAAACUCUAUUAACUGUAUCGGGCUGAGUUGGAUAUAGAUGGCAUGCCAUAGGAUAGGAAGAGUUCAAGGAUUUCUCUUAAGUCGAUGAGGCACUGGGUGCCAAUUUACUUUGGUUUAACUGAUGAGACAUUGGAUGUCAAUUUAUAUAGCACUGGGUACAGUUAUUAUUUUGGAAUUAACUAGACACUAGGUGCCAAAUUGGUGUGUUGGUUGGAUCUGUGUAUCUAUCCGAGUCUGAGUCAUGUUAAUAGGGAAAAUUAAAUAAUAAAUUUAUAUGUUUGAUAUUGAGAUGACCAUGUUGAGAAAUGAAUAUGAGAUGAGAAAAAGAAAUAUGAAAUAAUGAAAUGUGAUGUGAAUCUUGAAAUGAAUUCAAGUAUCAAAAUGAUUAAUCAUGCCAUUGAAUGAGUUGGACUACUAAAUGCUAUAUAUAUGAAAUAUCACUGAUAUGUGCUUGAACAUAUGAAAUAUUAUUACCAUGUGCUAAAUUUUGUGAACUCUAUUGAAUGUGAAUAAAGAAUGAGUAAGUUGGCAUUAUUGAUUUGAUACAUAUGUUUUAUAACAUUACUUAUUGCAUUUUUAUAUCUUAUCUAUCCAUAUCAAGUUUAAAUUAUUCGGAUUAUAGAAAUACCACUAAGUUAUACUCAGUGUGCGGUUUUGUUUUCUGUACGCAAGCUAGGUACUUUUCAACAUAUCGCAGACUCAGCAUCAAACAAUAAAUCCCGAGCUCAAGUGUGGUUAUAUCUUAUUUUGAAAUGGCAUGUACCGAGGAAGUCUUUGGUUGAUAGUUGGUUUGUCAAUGUCAUGUUAUUUUGUUUUAAG
This 5556-nucleotide long non-coding RNA is filed under the name Gossypium barbadense (sea-island cotton). Its description in RNAcentral is "long non-coding RNA (GBAR_LNC000695)". The record is from RNAcentral. Lineage: Eukaryota; Viridiplantae; Streptophyta; Magnoliopsida; Malvales; Malvaceae.